Molecule: ribosomal RNA, 368 nt
Filed under: uncultured organism
Description: bacterial SSU rRNA
Rfam family: Bacterial small subunit ribosomal RNA
Source: RNAcentral
CGAAGGAUCCAAGCGUUGUCCGGAUUUACUGGGUUUAAAGGGUGCGUAGGCGGGCUAUUAAGUCAGUGGUGAAAGCUUGCAGCUUAACUGUAAAAUUGCCAUUGAAACUGAUAGCCUCGAAUAUGGUUGAGGUGGUUGGAAUGUAUCAUGUAGCGGUGAAAUGCUUAGAUAUGAUACAGAACACCGAUUGCGAAGGCAGAUCACUAAACCAUUAUUGACGCUGAGGCACGAAAGCGUGGGGAUCAAACAGGAUUAGAUACCCUGGUAGUCCACGCCCUAAACGUUGCAUACUCGGUUUUAGCGAUAUACCGUUAGGACCCAAGCGAAAGCGUUAAGUAUGCCACCCGGGAAGUACGUCCGCAAGGAUG